GACGAACGCUGGCGGCGUGCCUAAUACAUGCAAGUCGAGCGGACAUCUUCGGAUGUCAGCGGCGGACGGGUGAGUAACACGUGGGCAACCUGCCCGAUACAUGGGGAUAACGCUUGGAAACGAGUGCUAAUCCCGAAUGAGACCGAGAGUUCGCAUGAACUUUUGGGGAAAGACGCGUUUGCGUCGGUAUCGGAUGGGCCCGCGGCGCAUUAGCUAGUUGGUGAGGUAACGGCUCACCAAGGCGACGAUGCGUAGCCGACCUGAGAGGGUGACCGGC
Molecule: ribosomal RNA, 277 nt
Filed under: uncultured bacterium
Lineage: Bacteria
Description: partial 16S ribosomal RNA
Rfam family: Bacterial small subunit ribosomal RNA
Source: RNAcentral